RNAcentral lists this ribosomal RNA (277 nucleotides) under uncultured prokaryote. RNAcentral's name for it is "partial 16S ribosomal RNA". It matches the Rfam family "Bacterial small subunit ribosomal RNA", at positions 524 to 800 of the family's 1533-position model. The record is from RNAcentral.
UACGGAGGAUCCAAGCGUUAUCCGGAUUUAUUGGGUUUAAAGGGUGCGCAGGCGGAAUAUUAAGUCGGCGGUGAAAGUUUGCAGCUUAACUGUAAAAUUGCCGUUGAUACUGGUAUUCUUGAGUGUAUAUGAAGUAGGCGGAAUUUGUAGUGUAGCGGUGAAAUGCAUAGAUAUUACAAGGAACUCCAAUUGCGAAGGCAGCUUACUAAAUUACAACUGACGCUCAGGCACGAAGGCGUGGGUAUCAAACAGGAUUAGAUACCCCGGUAGUCCCUGA